This is a long non-coding RNA of Silurus meridionalis, 480 nucleotides long. RefSeq lists it as uncharacterized. The transcript has 3 exons. The record is from RefSeq and is a predicted model, not a curated record. NCBI's taxonomy places the organism in Eukaryota, Metazoa, Chordata, Actinopteri, Siluriformes, Siluridae.
ACACUGAAUCCUCUCACAGCACAGAUCUGAUUAUCAGUAUAAUUCACUCUCCAGUUAUUGUUCUUAGUGAGAACAUCUGCAAAAUAAAAGUGUUAAAUAUUGUUUGAGGUUAAAGACUAAAACAAAAGGAUAACGAGUGUGUUACUGUUUUUAUUAUUCUAAAUUACGCCACUAGAAAAACACCGGUAUUAUAAAGAAAGUGUGAUUGUCUUUUAAAAUAAUAGAAAAUUCUCAUAAAACUUCUCCGUUUUCUCUCACAAUCACCUGAUGAGCGUAACAGUGAGACAUCAGGACACGGUGUCACAAGUGAGAAGAAUCACCACCAAGUGCAGCAUUUUUAUCUCUUCUGUUCAGCAGCAGCUUAGGAAGAAGCUGAAGAAGCAGCUCUGUGGAAAAAGGACAGUAAUAAAAAAUGAAGGAAACCAAAUGACACAAAAUCUGGUUUAGUAUUUACUAAGACAAAAAAAAAUAUCAAGUCUA